GACGAACGCUGGCGGCGUGCCUAAUACAUGCAAGUCGAACGAGAGCACCCGGUGCUUGCACUGGUCAAUCUAGUGGCGAACGGGUGAGUAACACGUGGGUAACCUGCCCAUCAGAGGGGGAUAACAUCCGGAAACGGAUGCUAAAACCGCAUAGGUCUUCGAACCGCAUGGUUUGAAGAGGAAAAGAGGCGCAAGCUUCUGCUGAUGGAUGGACCCGCGGUGCAUUAGCUAGUUGGUGAGGUAACGGCUCACCAAGGCCGUGAUGCAUAGCCGACCUGAGAGGGUGAUCGGCCACAUUGGGACUGAGACACGGCCCAAACUCCUACGGGAGGCAGCAGUAGGGAAUCUUCCGCAAUGGACGCAAGUCUGACGGAGCAACGCCGCGUGAGCGAAGAAGGUUUUCGGAUCGUAAAACUCUGUUGUUAGAGAAGAACAAGUGCUAGAGUAACUGUUAGCGCCUUGACGGUAUCUAACCAGAAAGCCACGGCUAACUACGUG
RNAcentral lists this ribosomal RNA (498 nucleotides) under uncultured bacterium. RNAcentral describes it as "partial 16S ribosomal RNA". It matches the Rfam family "Bacterial small subunit ribosomal RNA", at positions 28 to 507 of the family's 1533-position model. The record is from RNAcentral.